RNAcentral lists this long non-coding RNA (382 nucleotides) under Homo sapiens (human). RNAcentral describes it as "non-protein coding lnc-MICU2-6:1". The record is from RNAcentral. Lineage: Eukaryota; Metazoa; Chordata; Mammalia; Primates; Hominidae.
AUGGCCAACAGUCAGCACACCUUCAUUGCCUUCAAGCUCAGCAGGGUCCAGUGAGGCCUUAUUGGGGAGAUCAUUGAGUGUUUCAAGCAAACGGGAUUUGUCUUGUUGGUUUCAAAUUCAAAUAGGCUUCUGAUGACCUCCUCAUGCAUUCUGUGCAAUACUGGCACUCAGAGCCAGUGGCUGCUAUAAUCUGGGAGGCACUGAAUGUGAAUACAGGCCACAGAGGAAACCACGGAGACCAACCCUAUGGACAGCAAGCCUGGGACCAUCCACAAAAGCUUUUGCAUUGAAGAUGGCAGGAACAUUAUGUAUGGUAGCAUGUCUGUCGGGAGUGCAGAGAAGAGGACUGGCCUGUAUUUUCACCCCCAAGGAACUGGUGGAU